AUCAACUUUUCACUUUACUCUCCCCAACUUUAGAUUCCAAAACCAAAUUUAUUCAAUAAUGCUCCCUACUUAGACAUAAGCAAAAGGCAAAAUUUUCAACAACUCGAUUUAAGGUUUCAAUUGACACGAAAGAAAUUAGGAUUCAUUUAUUCCACAAUUUUCAAUUGAUUUUACAAUGAUCAAUCAAAUGAAUCCUAAAAUAAGCUCAAAGGGGUUUAACUAAGGAUUAUUCCUCACAAGGUUAGUUUAUUCAAAC
This 256-nucleotide long non-coding RNA is filed under the name Lathyrus oleraceus (garden pea). Its description in RNAcentral is "Pisum sativum (pea) long non-coding RNA (PSAT_LNC039849)". Lineage: Eukaryota; Viridiplantae; Streptophyta; Magnoliopsida; Fabales; Fabaceae. The record is from RNAcentral.